GAUGAACGCUGGCGGCGUGCCUAACACAUGCAAGUCGAGCGGCAGCGAGGGGUGCUUGCACCCUGUCGGCGAGCGGCGGACGGCUGAGUAACGCGUGGGAACGUGCCCCAAAGUGAGGAAUAACUGCCCGAAAGGGUAGCUAAUACCGCAUAUUAUCUUCGGAUCAAAGGAUUUAUCCGCUUUGGGAGCGGCUCGCGUCGGAUUAGGUAGUUGGUGAGGUAAUGGCUCACCAAGCCGACGAUCCGUAGCUGGUCUGAGAGGAUAACCAGCCAGACUGGAACUGAGACACGGUCCAGACUCCUACGGGAGGCAGCAGUGAGGAAUCUUCCACAAUGGGCGAAAGCCUGAUGGAGCAACGCCGCGUGCAGGACGAAGGCCUUCGGGUUGUAAACUGCUUUUAUAAGUGAGGAAUAUGACGGUAACUUAUGAAUAAGGAUCGGCUAACUACGUG
RNAcentral lists this ribosomal RNA (451 nucleotides) under uncultured bacterium. Its description in RNAcentral is "partial 16S ribosomal RNA". It matches the Rfam family "Bacterial small subunit ribosomal RNA", at positions 28 to 507 of the family's 1533-position model. The record is from RNAcentral.